ACGCUCGACACCUACGGAAGGCAGCAGUCGGGAAUAUUGCGCAAUGGAGGAAACUCUGACGCAGUGACGCCGCGUAUAGGAAGAAGGUUUUCGGAUUGUAAACUAUUGUCGUUAGGGAAGAAAAAAGACAGUACCUAAGGAGGAAGCUCCGGCUAACUACGUGCCAACAGCCGCGGUAAUCUGAGCGGGCUGGCAAGGC
Molecule: ribosomal RNA, 199 nt
Filed under: uncultured bacterium
Lineage: Bacteria
Description: partial 16S ribosomal RNA
Rfam family: Bacterial small subunit ribosomal RNA
Source: RNAcentral